RNAcentral lists this long non-coding RNA (332 nucleotides) under Malus domestica (apple). RNAcentral's name for it is "long non-coding RNA (MDOM_LNC001556)". The record is from RNAcentral. Lineage: Eukaryota; Viridiplantae; Streptophyta; Magnoliopsida; Rosales; Rosaceae.
UGGUAAAUAAUGCUUCUUGCAAGGGAUAUGAAAGGUGGACGGCUGGAAUCGAAGGACGGCGGGGUGUAGGAGUCGAUCAGGGCUGUUAAAUUCGGGUCGGAACUCCGCAAGUGUUGGAGGGCGAGAUUGAUUUCGGAUUGGGAGGUUAGUGGGAUUAGGGUUUUGGGGAGCGCGGGGGAGGAGGGAGAGGGCUUGGCGGCGUUGGGGGUGUUGGAUACUUUUAAGAUUUUGCGGGGUCGGAAUGGGAUUUUGGAGGAGACGGAAGGGUUUUCGGAAAUUUGGGUUUGUAUUUGAGGUUUCGCACGCUUGGCCAUUACGGUGGCGAUGAUGGU